AUGACUUUCAUCACCAUAUUGAUCUGGACGCUGACAGUAUUAUGUCGAGAAUCUGUUGGUCAGGUGACAGUGACUCAAACUCCCUCAAAUCUGCUCUCUGAACCUGGACAAUCAGUCACGAUAACCUGUAAAACUAGCAGAGAUCCAAACUGCUGUUAUGGUGAUGGAAAACCCCUUCUUAACUGGUACUUCCAGAAACCUGGAGAAGCUCCUAAACUCCUGAUUUAUUACACAAACCGCCGUCAGUCAGGAACUCCAUCUAGAUUCAGUGGCAGCAGUGGAUCUAACAGUGAUUUCACUCUGAGCAUCAGUGGAGUCCAGACUGAAGAUGCUGGACAUUAUUACUGUCAGAGUUAUCAUGUCAUCAACUAUAAUGAUGUGUUCACACAGUGA
Non-coding RNA from Pimephales promelas (fathead minnow), 393 nucleotides. The record is from the annotation of a RefSeq genome assembly. Lineage: Eukaryota; Metazoa; Chordata; Actinopteri; Cypriniformes; Leuciscidae.